CAGCCAGGGGAGGGCAGGAGCCAGGGCUGCUCCCUCAGACAGGUAUAAAAGGGUGUCACGGGCAAGGAGAGAGCUUUUGGGACCAAGGUGCGAUCUCUGGGAACCUGUGACUUGUUAAAGCUGCCAGACCGAGGAAAGAUGAGAUCGCAGAAGGCAGUCUGUGGUUACGAGACUCCUGCAUGGACCGAAGAUCUGGGCUGCUGCUGAGGACUUUCCAUGAGAUGCCCCAUAUAAAGCCUGAGUAUCUCAGAUAAUGUCAGUGAUGACUUUACUCACCUGGAGUGGCUCCUUGCUUUCUGCCGAACCAUGCCCUGCAUGCCCUGUGCCUUUUCUGCAGGAUCGCCCAGGCCCCAUCAGAAGCUCCCUGCCUGCUGGUGAAGUGCUUAAUGCACAGGGUCACCGUGUUAGCUGCUGAGGGUCCGGAGCCAGUGCCACUCCUGGCAGCUGCUUGCAGUGCCAUCACCUCAGCCCAAGCCAUGUUCUGGGGAUGCUGCCUGAGCCCUGCAGGACAAGCCCCAUGCCUUCUGCCCCCCAGCACUGCUCGUGCACCAGCCUGGAGCCGGGAGAGCAGCAGCAGCUCUGGGAGCCUGAAUGGGGGGCUCCUGGCCACCACGCGGAGCGGUCCCUGGGCACUGGUAGUGCUGCCAAGCGUGUGCACAAAUUGGAAAUAAAUUGGAAAUUCACAGAAUGAAAUAAUUCACAGGCUACAGUAAAUUACAGAGAAGGGGCAGUGCUUUGGCACACACAGGCGAGCAGCUGGUGGAUGAGUUCAGCAGAACGGCCUCAAUUUCAGAUUUUAAGAUAAAGCUGCUGGCUGGCAUGGAGCUUGGAGGUGGGCUUUUUCACCUCUGCUCCGUUUGCUGAUGUCUCCAGCAUGCAGAAAUAAUCAUGGGCUCCAAGCUCAUCUGAAAGAAACAGCAUUAAGUAAAAAGGAAAAAGAGGAGUGUAUGAAAUUAUGGAAAUGCACCAUUGAAGCAUUAUGGAAAUUGGUGGAUAUUUGCAAUACUAUCAUUUACUUAAUGUCGUGUUGUUCUGAUAAUAGCUGUAUUUCCAUUACAGAAAAACAAAAAAGAAGCAUAACUUCAUGCCGCUUUAUCCUUAUCUGUUCCCAUGAGACCACCUAGAUUGUCAGGAAGCUUAAUAUGCAAAUCUAAAUGUAUAUGAUUUAGGGGCACAACGGACCACAAGAAAUCCAUGAGAGCCAUUUGAACCGCAGUGACACCAUCUGUGAUUGCUCAGUGCUUUUGCCUGUGGAAUAGGAAUAAGGCUGUCCCCAGACUGCAGAACAUUACCUGGUCUGCAUCAAGGGGAGCUACGAUUUUAAACAUUUACCAUGCACCUACCUUGCAGUGGCACUCCUGUUUGCUCCUUGAGUAUUGGCAAGGUGAGCAGGAAGGGAAGGAUUUUCCUGGGGGUGUGCAGUGCCGGCAGAGACCCCAGCUCCUGACUCACAGUGCUCGUCUUCCCCACUUCAUGCUACGUGGCAUCCUCUCUCCCAUAAUCACACAGAGUAAAUCUGUCUCUCCAAAGGCUUGUCUGGCCAUUCCCCCAGUGUUAAGCUAAUGUAACUGAAAUGUGAAGGAGAGGAAGACCACAAGUGGGCUUGCUGAGUGUCUUGCUGUCUGACGAUUUCUGAUUUUGUGCACUUUGAGUCAUAGGUUGGUAGGUAGCUUGGCAAAUCUCCACAACACACUCAUGUGUACCAUAAAAUUUUGAAUUAUCUCAUUUAGAAGAGGUUCAUUAGGAAGAUUAAUGCGGUGUUAUUUUUCUCUCACUCAAUGUCCUAGUACAGAGGGGGCACAAGGAAUUUUCCCAGCUGUGCACAGCAGUAAUUGGCCCUCUCCAGGGUCCCAGCAUCACUGCAUUGCGAUCAGUUAAACUGCUCAGUCUUUGGAAGUGUUAUUUGUCAGCUUAAUUAACCUUAAAGGAAGCACUUGCUUCAAAAUAGGACAACAGUUUUGUUUUUCCCCAAGAAAGAAAUAAAGAUAUUAAAGUUACCACUGGUAAAGGAGCUCUUAAGGUGAGUUUUAAAUGAACCUCUGUGCAUCCUGCCCCUCGGGUUCCCUGCUCAUUUGUACCCCCCUCUCCUGGGACCUGCCAGCUUCGCCAGGGUCAGAUUAGUGUAAUUAUAAGGUUCUGCAGCAUGUUAAAUACUGCUACGUGGCACGGGAAGUCCAAUGUCUUCAUCAAGAAGAUGGGGCAGGCUAUGAAAUAGCUGAAUGAGGGCUAGACAGCAGGGCUAAGACGUUUGUUUCUUUGGCUGAUAGCAGAAGCAUUUCAAAAUGCCUUAGGGUACUGCUCUGUCAGGGUGAAAAGGUCAGAACAAACCUUAAAAUAAAAUAAAAAGCCACAAUCAUUACCAUGAUGGCAGAUUCACCUACAGUUGCCACAGACUGAUAUGACUACAAAAAUCACUUCAAGCCAAGCUAAAAAUAGCCAGUGAGGUUUUAGAUAGUUUCCACAAAUGUUAAAUCUGUGGAAGAGCUAGAAACUGAUGAGCAUGGGCAACCAGGAGAUGGAGGUCUCCCUUACGGUGAGGGCUCUUCAUGCACGCAAACGCAGAUUUCCCUCUCUAGGCAGGGUUGACAAAAGCUUUGGGCCACUUGUUUGACUUUGCUGUUGGGAGGAAGAAAAAGUAGUGACAAGAAUGAUAGCAAGAGGGGAGGUGGGCUGGGAUUUCCUCUAAAAGGCAACCGUUCUGUAAGUAGUUUUGUCUGUUUGCAAAAGUCAUUUAAAUCAAAAAAAAAAAAAAA
Anas platyrhynchos (mallard) is the source of this 2753-nucleotide long non-coding RNA. RefSeq lists it as uncharacterized. The record is from RefSeq and is a predicted model, not a curated record. Lineage: Eukaryota; Metazoa; Chordata; Aves; Anseriformes; Anatidae.